GGGGAGUUUCCCGAGUGGUCAAAGGGGACAGACUGUAAGUCUGCUGGCUCCGCCUUCGUAGGUUCGAAUCCUUCACUCCCCA
RNAcentral lists this transfer RNA (82 nucleotides) under Treponemataceae bacterium. RNAcentral describes it as "tRNA-Tyr". It matches the Rfam family "tRNA". Rfam says of the family: Transfer RNA (tRNA) molecules are approximately 80 nucleotides in length. Their secondary structure includes four short double-helical elements and three loops (D, anti-codon, and T loops). Lineage: Bacteria; Pseudomonadati; Spirochaetota; Spirochaetia; Treponematales; Treponemataceae. The record is from RNAcentral.